RNAcentral lists this long non-coding RNA (2785 nucleotides) under Canis lupus familiaris (dog). Its description in RNAcentral is "lncRNA (ENSCAFG00000059091.1)". The record is from RNAcentral. Lineage: Eukaryota; Metazoa; Chordata; Mammalia; Carnivora; Canidae.
UUUUUUUUUUUUUUUUUUUUUAAGAUUUUUCUUUAAUUUACUCAUGAGAGCCAGAGAGAGGCAAAGACAUGGGCAGAGAGAAGCAGGCUCCCUGCGGGGAGUUUGAAGCGGGACUCGAACCCAGGACCCUGGGAUCAAGACCUGAGCCCAAGGCGGACGUUCAACCACUGAAUCACCCAGGCGUCCCUGGAUGUCCUUAUUAAGCACCUCCUUGUGCUCGACCUCUGGACAGGACUCAGUGUGGGGGUGGGGAGUGUGGGAGGGGUGGAAGGAGAUCAAAUUGGGUUCCUCCUCUAAGCCCAGGCUUGGGUUGGCAUCCCAGCCCUGCCAUUGGCUUGGCCUCGGCGUCCGCAUUCAUUCAUUCUUGCAUUCCACACGCAUUCCCCCUGCGCCGCCUCUGUUCCCCGCCCUGUGCGGGGCAGUGCUGGCGACUCAGCGGUGACCGUUGAUUGACAACCAUAGCGCCCUCCUGUCCUCCUGGAGCGGUCCCCGUCCAGUGGUCCAGUGGGAGAGACAGACUGGUUCCCCAACAGUGACCACCCGGAGAGGGCAAGGCUGGAAUGGGAGACCCCACGAUGGCCGGGGAGAGGGGAGAGGCCGCCCAGCCCAGCCCCAGGGUAGGGAAGGGCUUCCUGGAGGAAGGGACAUCUGAGCAGAGACCUGGUCGAUGAGUUAGUAUUAGUCAUUUCCUGAAAGAACAGUAUCACACUGUUCUAACUUGCGGCUCUCUGGUUACUAAGGAGAGAGAACAUCUUUUUUUUAGUUUAUUGGUCUUAGGUAGUUUGUCUUCUGUGGAUGGCUUGCUCAUAUCCUUUGCACAGUUUUUUAAAUGGGGUUGUAUGCCUUUUUUUUUUCUUUUUUCUUUUUUUUUUUUUUUGUUAGUAUUUAUUUGUAAGGAUACUUUACGGAUUCCGAUUCAAAUUCUUAGUUGUGUGUAUUUCCAGUGUUCCCUCCUAGUUUGUACUUUGUACUUUAACUAUUUAUGUCACAGAGAAAUUCUUAGUGUUUAUUCACACCACUUAUCAGUCUGUUCAUCCUGACUUUGGCUUUUGGUGUAUUGUUUGAGACCUGCAGUACCCCAAGGUCAUAAAUAUAUCCUGUAAUUACUUUUAGUACUUUCCGACUCUGGAUUUUGUUUGUCUUUAUACAAGACUUAUUUUUGAAACUGCACGAUGGGAGGAAUUUAUGAUGAAUGUAGCCAAUUGUACUCAAACCAUUUAUUUUAAAAAUCCAUCUUUUCACUAGUUUUGAUGAACCAAAUUCUCAUAUACAGGCAUCUAUUUCUGACAUUUCUAUUAAAGUGGGGGUUUUGGUUUUGUUUUUUUAGAUUUUACUUAUUUAUUCAUGAGAGACCCAGAGAAAGAAGUAGGGACAUGGGUACAGGGAGAAGCAGGCUCCCUGUCUGACUCGAUCCCAGGAACUCAGGACCAUGAGCUGAGCCAAAGGCAGACGCUCAACCACUGAGCCACCCAGGGGCCCCUCUAUUAAGUUUUAUUAAUCUUUAUAUCUGUUCCUUGCCUCCAUGCUACACUGUUUUUUUUUUUUCAUGUUGCCCUGUUCAAAUAUUUUAUUUGGAUAUGUUUUGUGAUCACACCAGGCAAGUCUCCUCUCUGUUCAGUUUCAAAUCUGCCUUUACCAUUCUUCCAACCUUUUCUCUUCUAGAUGGAUUUUAGCAGCUGUUUUUCCACUUCCAUGAAGAAUCCUAUUGAGAUUGAUAUUGGAGUUUCAAUGAAUUGAUGGGUUAAUUCAAAGAAGUUUGAUAUCUUUUUAAAAAGAUUUUAUUUAUUUAUUUGACAUACAGGGAGAGAGAGAGCACAAGCAGGGGGAACAGCAGAGGGAGAGGGAGAAGCAGGCUCUCCACCUAGCAGGGAGCCAUGCAGGACUCGAUCCCAGGACCCUGGUCAUAAGCUGAGCUAAAAGCAGACACUUAACCGAUUGAGCCACCCAGGCACCCUAACAUCUUUUUCAUAUACAUGAAUAUAUGGAUUGCCUUUAUCUCUCCAAUGAUUCCAGCUUUUGUUAGGAACCUACUAUUAAAAGUUUUUUGUAAAUAAUUUUUAUUUGCACAACUGAUUCAUAAAUACAUUUUUGUACUAGUCUUCUAGGAGAGCUAUAACAAAGUACCCAAAACUGGGUGACUUAGUUCCCAGAAAUGAAUUGUCUCAUGGUUCUGGAGGCUAGAGGUCCAAAGCCAAGGUGUUGAAAGGGCUGUGUUCCCUCCGAAUGCACAAGGGAAGGAUCUGUUGCGGGCCCCUCUCUUAGCUGCUGGUAGUGUCAGGAGUUUCUUGGCUUGUAGAUGACCACCUUCUCCCUGUGUGGUGGUCUUUUCUCUGUGUGUGUCUAUCUCUGUGUCUAAACUCCCCUGUUUCAUAAAGACACCAGUCAUAUUGGAUUGGGGCCCAUGCUAAUGACCUCAUUUUAAUUUGAUUAUCUCUGUAAAGACCUUAUUUCCAAAUAAGGUCACAAUUUGAAGUACCAUGGUUAGGACUCCAAGGUAUCUUUUUUGGAGGACAGGAGUUAACCCACAAUUCUGUUACUUUUUAUAAACUUCUUCCUUCUAGAUUCAUUUGACUACUUGCUACAGAGUCUAUUCACUUCUAAUUCUUUCAGAGAGCAUCCUGGCUAAUCAUGUUCUGAGUCUUGCUCAUCUCAAAAUGCCUUCAUUUCAUCCUCACAAUUGGAAUCUCCUUGGGGUACCUGGGAGGGUCAAUUGGUAGAGUGUGUAACUCUUGAUCUUGGGGUGGUGAGUUUGAACCCCGUGUUGGGUGCAGAAAUUACUUAAAAA